Non-coding RNA from Arachis ipaensis, 794 nucleotides. The record is from RefSeq and is a predicted model, not a curated record. NCBI's taxonomy places the organism in Eukaryota, Viridiplantae, Streptophyta, Magnoliopsida, Fabales, Fabaceae.
AUUGAAUUCACGUAGCAGGGAAGUAGAAGGAAACCAAAACACAUGAAACCUAUUCCACUUUAAACUUUAAUUCUCCGUAACUUUCAAUCCGAAGUUCUAAUCGUUACACCAUUCGCGACCAUGUGAUCCCAGCGUCAAGUUCUACAAAGCCCAAUACUUAAUUAAUUUGGAUUGUAUAUUUUAGAAACAAAUUGACGGUGUUGAAGACUUGGUAUUGGACUCUAGGGAGGCGGAGACCCGUUUGAUGAGACUUUGAAAAUUUGGGUGUCGUGGAACGGUGACAAAUUGUGACGUUUCGGGUUUUACAGAAAAUUGGUCAAGGUAUGGCCGGAAUGGACGAGAUGGCAGGGUCUGGGUGUGAUCCUGCCUGCGAGUUAACUGAAAACUUUAUCGAGUGGCAAGUUGAGGAGGGAGGAUUCCCUCUCUUGUCGUGAUAUGGAUGUGGAGAAGGUGGAAAGGCACCCUCCUUCGUAUUGUUUUUCCCACAUUCUUUUCUGGUUACAAGGUGGAAAGGCACACUCCUUCUAUGUGAAAAGGCACUCUCCUUCGUAUAUCCUCCAGGAGAAGGUGGAAAGGCAUGUUCCUUCAAUGUGGAAAGGUACCUUAACCAUACUGAGAGAAGCACCACUCUGUAUUCUGAAGACUUUGAUGAAGCGAAGAACUCUUGGGACUCAGGGUUGUAUUUUUUUACUUAUAUUUAUAUAUGUAUUUAGAUUCUCCACCUUGUAUUUUAUGUUUGUCCCUCUUAGAGGUUGGCUUGGAAACAAGUUGUCAGUUUUCUGUUUUGUCUUAAC